RNAcentral lists this transfer RNA (3116 nucleotides) under Sus scrofa (pig). Its description in RNAcentral is "lncRNA (ENSSSCG00035079651.1)". The record is from RNAcentral. Lineage: Eukaryota; Metazoa; Chordata; Mammalia; Artiodactyla; Suidae.
AGCCCGGCCCUGCCGGCUGGAGAGGAUCCGAAUAGUGUACGCGUUUUGGCUUGCAGGGUUUUUAAUUGUCACCGAGUGGGGUUUACUGUAGGCUGUCAAAUCAGGAGUCGUAUUUUGUUGAGUCGAAAGUGAAAUUUACCUUCGGCCGACGUGACAGCAUUGUGGCCUUCUCAUCCCCAUAAAUUGCAUUUCUUUACAGGGCUUUGUUUGGUGGUAGAAAGGGUGCCAGAACCCCCUCAUUCCACUACCACGGGAGGGCGCAUUUUUCAGCUCUUGCUCUUAAACCCGCUAAAAGGAAUUCCUGGAUCUAAGCACCAGGUACACCGCUCUUUUCAAGUGGUGUGAAGCGAAAACCUAUCUAAAGAUAGGAAAUACAUUGAUCUGCAGUGUCAGACUGGCAGCUAGUAGUAUGAUGUUUUAUUAACUCUAAACCCUAUAUUUUCAGUGUUUUUUUUUUAACAUAAAAAUGUCAUUUUUCAAAUCGUCAUGCCUUGUUUCUUUCGAAAUGAGAGUGCCAGGUACACAUGCUUAUGGAGUGGUCUCGUAAAUGUCUUGAACCUAAAAAGCGCAGGGUCCAGUUAGCUGAUUGAUUCAUACACCCCUCCAACUGCAGGUCUCCCCAGCCUCCCUUAAAGAAAGAAAAAAAAAUCAAUAUGCAUCUUCUAUGUGCCCGACCCCACUCCUUAGUACUGCUCUCCAAAGCAUUGCCUAAGCUAGAAGGAGGAAGCUGAGAGGAAUCUGAAACUCUGGGUUUCACCCACACAUGUCCUGCAGUCAAGUCCUGUCACUCUAUUUAUAGAAUAUUUCUCAAAUAGGUCCCUGCUCUCCAUCCUCUCUGCCUCUGACAUAGUUUAUGUUCUCAUCAUUUUUCACCAAGAUCAUGGCAAUAGCUUCCUAACUAGUUUGUCUGCAUUCAGGGCAUGGCUUCCUUCCAGUUCAGUCUCCAGUCUAUGCCUGGGUGAGCCUACCAAUGACAAAACAUCUAUGCAUGUUGGUCCUCUUCUUAAUAUCUUCCAAUUGUUGCCGAUUCUCACCAUGAUAAAAUCCAAACUCCUUAGGUUGGUAUACAGGCCUGUUGUGUUCUGACUCUUGCCUAUUUUUCUAGCUUCUGCCUCCCCCGUGUACUUCUGAUACCUGCCUGGAUAUAUCCUUCCCUCCCUCCACUUCUUCAAGGAAACUCUUGCUAGUUCCUUAAGACCUAAUUCUGGCAUCUUCUGAAAGCUUUCCCUGAAAUCCAGAUACAUAGGUAUAUGCUAGCACUUUGCAGGUGUUAAUAAGUGGGAAGCUCUCAGUAAAUGCUUGUUGAAGUGGACUAUUAAGGGCACAGCUAUUUUAUUCAUUUUUAUGUCUCUGUGGCUUAGCAGUGUCCAAUAAAGGUGGUAUUGAUGGAUACAUGAAGAAAAUAUUAAAGGAUAUAUGAAUAUUAUGCUGAGGAGGAGAGGUUCUUUUUGCAGCUGUAAGUACAGUGGGAUUGUAGAUAACCCAUAUCACAAAGGCUGCCGUGCAGUUUCCUUUCCUAGGGCCAGGGUUAUAAGCCUGGGUGACUUGGAGAGUGGGGGAGAUCAUGCUGCCAAAAAUACUGUACACAAAGCAUUGUCCUCUGCUUCAAAACCAGACACUUGACAUUUUGCUUCAGCCAUUUUCCAUGGGGCAUUUUGUUGCAGCCUAAGAAAAGUAACCGAUAAAUGCUCAGCAUUUUUAUUGCCAAGUAAUAUGUGCAAAGAACUUCACUCAGUCCCUCAGCCUCACUCCUCCCUGAGCCUCUCCUCACCUCCUCCCUGGACCUCACUCUACCCCAUUAUCAGGGAUACAACUCUGAGAUGGAGUGGGGCUUAUGGGUGUCUCUUAACAUGCAUUAUUUGGUAAUAAAAAGCACCUUGACAUUUUAGCAGAAUUGUUUUAAGUCACCUGCCUUUUCAAAAUGCCCUGCUUUGUUUUAAAUUUUGAGUGUAGUAAGUCACUAACAGUGUACUGAGUCUUCCCGUCAUUUGACCUGUUUUUCUUCUCUAGUCCCCCCCUGGUUAGGAAGGAUGGAUGGUUUGGUACAGAGGAGAUGAGUGUGGAGCCCCCAGACUUCCCCUUGACCUCAUAGUCUUGCCUUUCUCCUGAUGUCUGAGAAAAGAUGGAGCUACUCGAUGCUUCCAGGGUCAAGAAGAGGCAGAGAGGGUACAGUGGCUAAUUUUUCUCCCAGUUGGGGGUCUGAAAGGGGAGCAGAGACAUCAUUACAGAGCAGCCAUGGAAGGGACUCCAAAGAGAAAGGAGAUUAUAUGCAAAUCCACUUCCAGUGAUUUUUUAUAAAGAAAAGUCAGGGACCGUGUCUUAUUCCUAUUUGUACCCUUUAAUCAUCUAGCAUAAUUCCUUUAAUAUGGCAAAUGCUCAAGAACCAUUUCUUAAAUAAAGGAAGAGAAAAAGUGAAAAAAAAAAUGUGACUGCCUGACUUAAUGCCAUUAUACUUCUCACUUGCAUAAAUCUAUAAACAUUCAGUAUAAGAAUGCCAUGAGGAAGUUCCUUUGUGGUGCAGUGGGUUAAGGAUCUGGUGUUGCUGCAGCCGUGGUGCAGGCUGAAACUGCAGCACAGGUUCGAUCCCUGGCCUGGGAACUUCCACAUGCCACAGGCACUGCCAAAAAAAGGAAUGCCAUUAUAUAGUUCAAAAUCGCAGAGUUCCUGCUAAGGCACAGAGGGUUAAUGAUCUGGCCUGUCUCUGUGGCAUUGCCAGUUCCAUCCCCAGCCUGGCACAGUGGGUUAAAGAGCUAGCAUUGCUACAGAUGUGGCUUGGAUAUGAUCCCUGGCCCAGGAACUUCCAUAUGCUGGGGGUGCAGCCAAAAAGGGGGAAAAAAGGAGAGAGAGAAAAGUUACAGAGUUCCCAUUGUGGCUCAGUGGGUUAAGAACCUGGCUAGUGUCCAUGAGGAUAUGGGUUUGAUCUCUGGUCCCACUCAGUGGGUUAAGGAUCUGGAAUUGCUGCAAACUGCAGUGUAGGUCGCCGAUACAGUUCGGAUCUGGCCUUGCUGUGGCUAUGGAGUAGACCAUCAGCUGCAGCUCUGAUUCGACCCCUAGCCUGAGAAUUUCCAUAUGCUGCAAGUGCGGCCCUAAAAAAAAGGAAACAACAACAACAACAA